CCCUUAGAUGUUCUGGGCAGCACGCGCGCUACAAUGGUCUUCGCAAACGGAUGCAUUCUCGAAGGAGAAUGCCAAUCUUGGAAUCUAUGCCUUGGUCUGGACAGUUGCUUGCAAUUUUUCGACUCGAACCAGGAAUUCCUUGUAAUCGUGAUUCAUCACAUCACGAUGAAUACGUCCCUGCCCUUUGUACACACCGCCCGUCGCUCCUACCGAUCGAAGAGUUAGGUGAAUUGUUUUGAUCGAUAAGAUUUGACUAUGGUCAACUCUCGUUGUGAAAUUCUGUGAAUCUGACUGUUUAGAGGAAGGAAAAGUCGUAACA
Molecule: ribosomal RNA, 319 nt
Filed under: uncultured eukaryote
Lineage: Eukaryota
Description: partial 18S ribosomal RNA
Rfam family: Eukaryotic small subunit ribosomal RNA
Source: RNAcentral